UCCGAGUUGACCCCGGCAGUCUCCCAUGAGUCCCCGCCAUUACGCGCUGGCAACAUGGAACGAGGGUUGCGCUCGUUGCGGGACUUAACCCAACAUCUCACGACACGAGCUGACGACAACCAUGCACCACCUGUCUCCUCUGCCCCGAAGGGAAGGCGCGGUUAAGCGCCGGUCAGAGGGAUGUCAAGCCCUGGUAAGGUUCUUCGCGUUGCUUCGAAUUAAACCACAUGCUCCGCUGCUUGUGCGGGUCCCCGUCAAUUCCUUUGAGUUUCACACCUGCGUGCGUACUCCCCAGGCGGAGCACUUAAUGCGUUAACUGCGGCACCGAAGCCUUGCGACCCCGACACCUAGUGCUCAUCGUUUACGGCGUGGACUAC
RNAcentral lists this unclassified non-coding RNA (377 nucleotides) under uncultured Eubacteriales bacterium. Its description in RNAcentral is "contains 16S-23S intergenic spacer region". The record is from RNAcentral. Lineage: Bacteria; Bacillati; Bacillota; Clostridia; Eubacteriales.